RNAcentral lists this transfer RNA (68 nucleotides) under Achatinella sowerbyana. Its description in RNAcentral is "tRNA-Trp". Lineage: Eukaryota; Metazoa; Mollusca; Gastropoda; Stylommatophora; Achatinellidae. The record is from RNAcentral.
AUAUUAAUAAGUUAAAAAAAAACUAGUAACCUUCAAAGUUAAUAAUAUAAAUUUUAUUGUUUAAUAUA